GUAACACGUGGGUAACCUGCCCAAGAGAUCGGGAUAACACCUGGAAACAGAUGCUAAAUACCGGAUAACAACAGAUGAUGCCUAUCAACUGUUUAAAAGAUGGUUCUGCUAUCACUCUUGGGAUGGACCUGCGGUGCAUUAGCUAGUUGGGUAGGGGUAACGGCCUACCAAGGCGAUGAUGCAUAGCCGAGUUGAGAGACUGAUCGGCCACAUUGGGACUGAGACACGGCCCAAACUCCUACGGGAGGCAGCAGUAGGGGAAUCUUCCACAAUGGACGCAAGUCUGAUGGAGCAAACGCCGCGUGAGUGAAGAAGGGUUUCGGCUCGUAAAGCUCUGUUGUUGGUGAAGAAGGACAGGGGGUAGUAACUGACCUUUGUUUGACGGUAAUCAAUUAGAAAAGUCACGGGCUAACUACGUGCCCAGCAGCCGCGGGUAAAU
Molecule: ribosomal RNA, 439 nt
Filed under: uncultured Lactobacillus sp.
Lineage: Bacteria; Bacillati; Bacillota; Bacilli; Lactobacillales; Lactobacillaceae
Description: bacterial SSU rRNA
Rfam family: Bacterial small subunit ribosomal RNA
Source: RNAcentral